This 509-nucleotide ribosomal RNA is filed under the name uncultured bacterium. Its description in RNAcentral is "partial 16S ribosomal RNA". It matches the Rfam family "Bacterial small subunit ribosomal RNA", at positions 28 to 506 of the family's 1533-position model. The record is from RNAcentral.
GACGAACGCUGGCGGCGUGCUUAACACAUGCAAGUCGAACGAAGAGCGAUGGAAGCUUGCUUCUAUCAAUCUUAGUGGCGAACGGGUGAGUAACGCGUAAUCAACCUGCCCUUCAGAGGGGGACAACAGUUGGAAACGACUGCUAAUACCGCAUACGAUCUAAUCUCGGCAUCGAGGAUAGAUGAAAGGUGGCCUCUACAUGUAAGCUAUCACUGAAGGAGGGGAUUGCGUCUGAUUAGCUAGUUGGAGGGGUAACGGCCCACCAAGGCGAUGAUCAGUAGCCGGUCUGAGAGGAUGAACGGCCACAUUGGGACUGAGACACGGCCCAGACUCCUACGGGAGGCAGCAGUGGGGAAUCUUCCGCAAUGGACGAAAGUCUGACGGAGCAACGCCGCGUGAGUGAUGACGGCCUUCGGGUUGUAAAGCUCUGUUAAUCGGGACGAAAGGCCUUCUUGCGAACAGUUAGAAGGAUUGACGGGACCGGAAUAGAAAGCCACGGCGAACUACGU